AUGUUGGACAAUGGGGGAAACCCUGAUCCAGCCAUCCCGCGUGUAUGAUGAAGGCCUUCGUGUUGUAAAGUACUUUUUGCAGAGAAAAAAAGGUACCUCCUAAUACGAGGUACUGCUGACUGUAUCUGCAGUAUAAGCACCGGCUAACUACGUGCGAGUAGCCGCGGUAAUACGUAGGGUGCAAGCGUUAAUCCGAAUCACUGGUCGUAAUGCGUGUGUAGGCGGUUCGGAAAGAAAGAUGUGAAAUCACAGGGCUCAACCUUGGAACUACAUUUUUAACUGCCGAGCUAGAGUAUGUCAGAGGGGGGUAGAAUUCCACGUGUAGCAGUGAAAUGCGUAGAUAUGUGGAGGAAUACCGAUGGCGAAGGCAGCCCCCUGGGAUAAUACUUACGCUCAGACACGAAAGCGUGGGGAGCAAACA
Molecule: ribosomal RNA, 421 nt
Filed under: uncultured bacterium
Lineage: Bacteria
Description: partial 16S ribosomal RNA
Rfam family: Bacterial small subunit ribosomal RNA
Source: RNAcentral